CCUACGGGUGGCUGCAGUGGGGAAUAUUGGACAAUGGGGGGAACCCUGAUCCAGCCAUGCCGCGUGUGUGAAGAAGGCCCUCGGGUUGUAAAGCACUUUCAGUGAGGAAGAACGCCUGGUGGUUAAUACCCAUCAGGAAAGACAUCACUCACAGAAGAAGCACCGGCUAACUCCGUGCCAGCAGCCGCGGUGAAUACGGAGGGUGCGAGCGUUAAUCGGAAUUACUGGGCGUAAAGCGCGCGUAGGUGGCUUGAUAAGCCGGUUGUGAAAGCCCCGGGCUCAACCUGGGAACGGCAUCCGGAACUGUCAAGCUAGAGUGCAGGAGAGGAAGGUAGAAUUCCCGGUGUAGCGGUGAAAUGCGUAGAGAUCGGGAGGAAUACCAGUGGCGAAGGCGGCCUUCUGGACUGACACUGACACUGAGGUGCGAAAGCGUGGGUAGCAAACAGGAUUAGAUACCCCGGUAGUC
This 466-nucleotide ribosomal RNA is filed under the name Vreelandella stevensii. RNAcentral's name for it is "partial 16S ribosomal RNA". It matches the Rfam family "Bacterial small subunit ribosomal RNA", at positions 338 to 795 of the family's 1533-position model. The record is from RNAcentral. Lineage: Bacteria; Pseudomonadati; Pseudomonadota; Gammaproteobacteria; Oceanospirillales; Halomonadaceae.